GACGAACGCUGGCGGCGUGCCUAACACAUGCAAGUCGAACGGAGAUACGCGCUGAACGGAAGCAGCUUGCUGAAGAAGUUCUUGUGUAUCUUAGUGGCGGACGGGUGAGUAACACGUGAGUAACCUGCCGAAGAGUGUGGAAUAACGCCCCGAAAGGGACACUAAUACCGCAUGAUACUUCAUUGCCGCAUGGUGAUGAAGUCAAAGGAGCAAUCCGCUCUUCGAUGGACUCGCGUCCGAUUAGAUAGUUGGUGAGGUAACGGCUCACCAAGUCGACGAUCGGUGGGCGGGCUGAGAGGCUGAACGGCCACAUUGGGACUGAGACACGGCCCAAACUCCUAAGGGAGGCAGCAGUGGGGAAUAUUGCACAAUGGGGGAAACCUGAUGCAGCGACGCCGCGUGAAGGAAGAAGUAUUUCGGUAUGUAAACUUCUAUCAGCAGGGAAGAAAAUGACGGUACCUGACUAAGAAGCCCCGGCCAAUUACGUGCCAGCAGCCGCGGUAAUAC
This 507-nucleotide ribosomal RNA is filed under the name uncultured bacterium. RNAcentral's name for it is "bacterial SSU rRNA". It matches the Rfam family "Bacterial small subunit ribosomal RNA", at positions 28 to 526 of the family's 1533-position model. The record is from RNAcentral.